Molecule: ribosomal RNA, 439 nt
Filed under: uncultured bacterium
Lineage: Bacteria
Description: partial 16S ribosomal RNA
Rfam family: Bacterial small subunit ribosomal RNA
Source: RNAcentral
CUACGGGGUGCACCAGUGAGGAAUAUUGCACAAUGGGGGGAACCCUGAUGCAGCAACGCCGCGUGGAGGACUACGCAUUUCGGUGUGUAAACUCCUUUUAUAUGUCAAGAAAAUGACGGUAGCAUAUGAAUAAGCACCGGCUAACUCCGUGCCAGCAGCCGCGGUAAUACGGAGGGUGCAAGCGUUACUCGGAAUCACUGGGCGUAAAGGACGCGUAGGCGGGCUUGUAAGUCAGGUGUGAAAUCCUACAGCUUAACUGUAGAACUGCACUUGAAACUACGAGCCUAGAGUAUGGGAGGGGCAGAUGGAAUUAGUGGUGUAGGGGUAAAAUCCGUAGAUAUCACUAGGAAUACCUAAAGCGAAGGCGAUCUGCUGGAACAUAACUGACGCUAAGGCGUGAAAGCGUGGGGAGCAAACAGGAUUAGAUACCCUUGUAGUC